GAAAAUUCUGGUUAAAUUGAGGAUGAAUUGUCUGAAGCAAAUCACCACUCCCUUUUAGAAGCAUAUGAAGUCUGUAAAUUUACUGUUCUACAACUUGAAAUCUUUGCCUGAUUAUUUGUGCAAAAUCCCACUCCAUCAAAAAAUUAAGCUGUUAAAAGGCCCUUGUCUGCUGUACAUAAUAUGCAUCUGACAGCUGAUGAACACACCAGCUGGAAUCAAGCAGAUCACUCAGGAUCAGUGGGUACUGGAAAUGGGCACUGCUCCAUGGAGCAUGUCACCAGGCAGAGGCACCUCCAUCCCUUGUCAGGGCAUCCUCCUCCUCACCCCCAAGGGGCAGAGGCAGGAUGGGAGCAGGGAUCCGUCUUGGAGAGGAUGCAAUGAGGAACUGUGGUGAAGACUGGGAACAGGAGGGGACUGUUUCAGUGUCAGGUUGUAUUUAUGGGGCUUUUUAUUAUUGUUAUUAUUAUUUGUUUAUGCUUACAUUUCUCAUGGAAUAACUGUUUUGGUUUUUAAUGAUAUGUGAGGAGUGCUGCCAAAAAUGGAAAACAUUCAUUUGAAUUUUUAAUGAAGUUGAUUGUACCUCUUUUCCAUUUAAUUUCCAUGAAUAUUCUACAGAAUAUAAAGUGAAUAUUCACUGGAGCAAUAAAUGUUAUGCUAAUUCUGUGGGACA
This 670-nucleotide long non-coding RNA is filed under the name Anas platyrhynchos platyrhynchos (common mallard). RNAcentral describes it as "lncRNA (ENSAPLG00000022257.1)". Lineage: Eukaryota; Metazoa; Chordata; Aves; Anseriformes; Anatidae. The record is from RNAcentral.